This 7271-nucleotide long non-coding RNA is filed under the name Paramuricea clavata. Lineage: Eukaryota; Metazoa; Cnidaria; Anthozoa; Malacalcyonacea; Plexauridae. The record is from RNAcentral.
GGCAUCUUGUUUAAUAUGAAUGUUGUAAAAGUUGUGUUAAUUGUAUGUAGGAAAUCUAAUUUAGAUUGUAAAGUAUGAGGAUGUUUGUGGGCAAAAUAUAUAGUUGUUUUUGCCAAAACCUAUAAUGAACGGAUGGACAAACUAUUAAGAUUACGUUAUCGUAAGAAGCUAACGCAGCAAAACCCCCUUUUUGGCUGCCAAGCGCGGAAACCUCAGGAAUGCGCGCGUCAAUGCUUUGGCUCAGAGACCUUAGCUAAUAUUAUAAAUAGAGUUGUAAAAUGUAAGAGUGGAGUUUGGAGUUCGAAGUGAGAAGUUUGAGAUUGAAUCGAGAUUGAAUUUGAUGUAUUUAGAAUAUGUUUGAAUAUCGAAAGGUUUGAAUAUUAUGUUUGAAUAUCGAAGGGUCCUUGCCCAGUACGUCGUCUGCCCCUCAGAGUUCUAGUAGUGAGACGGCGACAGCGAAUAUUAAACAAACGGUUACCCAGACUUGAAGUCCCUAAAUUUUCAGGAAAGGUUCACGAAUGGCAGGAAUUCUGGGACGGGUUUUCAAGCGCCAUAGACGGUAAUACCCAGUUAAAUUAAGUGAGGUAGACAAGUUUUCCUACUUACGUGGCUUGUUGUUUGCCCUUACCGCAGAUAAUUAUAAAGCAGCGGUCGAUCUUUUGAAGAAACGUUACGGUAAAAAGAUUUUAAUACAACGCGCGUAUGUAAAAAGUUAACUCUGACUAAACGAAACACACUCAGUUUACUUGCGAGUCAAUUUGAUCCGAUGGGGUGAAUUGGUCGUAUUAUAAUUCGCAUGAAAAUGUUGUUUCAGGAGAUUUGUCGAGAAAACCUUGACUGGGAUGUAAAUUUAGAAGGGUAAUUUAAACUCAAGUGGGAAGAAAUAGUAAGACAUUUGUUAGCAAUCAAAGAGAUUAAUAUAAGUCAAUGCAUUUAUAAACAUCCGAGGCGGGUAAUCCGCAAGUGCUUUCUCCAUGGGUUUGGAGACGCAAGCACUAAAGGUUAUUGCGCUGUUGUAUAUUUAGUAUAUCACGCGGAAGACGGAAUAUAUACAGUAUUGCUUACUUCAAAGUGCCGAGUGGCACCACUGAAAGAAUUAACUAAAAACUAGCAAAAAUUCUGGCUCAAUUAAUGGAUAGUGUAAUGAAAGCUAUGGAACGUGACAUUAAAUUUAAUGGAUUGAAAUAUUGGUUAGACAGUAAAACAACCCUGUGUUGGAUUGAAAACAGAUUUAAACAGGGGGAGUGGAAACAAUUUGUUCGUCACCGCGUUGCUGAAAUUUUAAAAUUAACAAAAAAAAAAUAUUGGGGGUUAUUGUCCAAGCGCGGAAAAUCCCGCAGACCUAGGCUCGAGAGGCACGUUUGGCUCUGAUUUGAAAGACGAAAAGCUUUGGUGGCACGGGCCUUUAUGGUUAAGUCAAGAGAAAAAACAAUUGGCCACAAAAGGCAAAUAUUGUAAGUACCCCGGAGUGUGUUAGUGGUCGAAAUAACAGAACCGUGCAGUAUUAACUAAGUUUUAGACAUAAGUCGAUAUAGUUCUUUGAGAAAACUCGUGAGAGUCACAGCACUCGUUUUACGUUUUAUCCAUAAGCUGAGAACCCGGAAAGUAUUACAGCAUGAUGAAAAUGAGUUGACAGAUGGGGAAGUUAUUACCCUAGAUCGAGAGGAAUUAAUUAACGCAGAAAAUGCGUGGGUUGAAACAGCGCAAACAGAGUUACGCAAACAGGAUAAUUUUGAUCAACUUAAAAGGACGUUAAAUAUAAUUACACUGACCUGAAAGGUCAAGUGUCUUAAAUCCCUAAUUUUCUGUUUUCUUCGUCGUCGAAAAAUCGAGUUUCCGUUCGCGCAUCGCAGGCUCAGGGUGCAACGAUCAAGCCAAAAUGCCAUCGAUUCCCUCGUUUCCAUGAUUUAGAUAGUAUAGUAAUAAGCUCGCAUUUAUGCACGUAAUAGUCGACUCAUGCCAUGCUUGUGGUACAUUUUUCGUUUAUUAGCCCAUAUAUAGACUUGUACGCACGCGCACAAUUCCGAACUCCAAGGGUGACAUAUUCAGUCCAGUUUCAAAAUGGCAGCUUUUGAUUGAGCGAUCAAAAUAUAUUUCACACAGUUUCGUUGAAUUUUCGAAAAGUUGUGCCGGUUUCCUGUGGAUUUUACGUUUCGUCGCACUCUGGACUUUCUUGCAUGUUGAAUUAAUCUGUUUUUCUUUGUGUAACGACUCGAAAAACCCAAAAUUUGGACCGGCGAAUUUUAAUAUACAAUAUAGUGGAAUAUACAAUAUCGUGGAAUACAAUUAACAAGGACAAAUUAAAGGUUUGACAGGUUGGCUUUAAUAAACAACUAUAAAUAUACGUUGUCGACUCAUAAACAUCCGUUGUUUAUUUGUGUUCAUUUUUGUGUCGCACUCUGGACAUUCGUUCGUGUUGAAUUAAUGUUUUUCUUUUUGUAUUAAAAUUAAACGACUCGAAAACCCCCCAAAUUUGGACCCAGCGAAUUUAUACCAUAUAGUGGAAUAUAAACAAGGACAAUUAAGUUAAAGGUUGACAGUUUGACUACACAACGCAGUUUUAAUUAAACAAAAUCUUACAAAAUUCUCAUUCUCAACAAAAUAUCGACAAUAUAUCUUACAUGUAUUAAAAUUCGCGCAGUACUACUAAGAAUUCGUGUAGCGCUGUGUGCGCAAAUUUUAGUACUGCGCGAAAUAUAAUACGCGCAAAAAGCUUUGUGUUGCUACAGUAAGUUAAAGAUACAGCGUGCGUUCAAAAUAAUAACAAGGACUAAAACAUUUAUUGUAUGGUUCUCAUUUGCCUAAUGCCUAAUACAAUAACAUUAGUUCGACGCGAAUUUUAAUACAAGUAAGGUAUGGUAUCAUAUUUCAUACUAUAAGGAACAAUGUAAACUAGCCAUACAUUUCGCCGAACAUAUAAACUUCGGCCCCUUUGGACAUAUCUUUUUCGUAAUAGUAUUAUUGGAACCAGAAUCCAAGGUUGGCAGUUGACUACACAGCGUAGUUUUAAUUAAAGAAAAUCUCCUAAUUCCUUACGAUAGUUUUAGCCAAAUGUCGACAUGAAUAUACCUUACAUGUAUUAAAAUUCGCGCAAUACUAGAAUUCGUGUAGCGCUGGGUGCGCAAAUUUUAAUACUGCGCGAACUAUAAUCCGCGCAAAAAGCUUGUGGUAGCUACUGUAAAGAUAAAGCGUGCGUUCAAAAUACCAACCAGGACUAAAACUGUAAAACAUUUAUUGUAUGGUUCUCAUUCGCCUAAUACAAUAACAUGUAUAGUUCGACGCGAAUUUUAAUACAAGUAAGGUAUGGUAUCAUAUUUCAUAAUAUAAGGAACAAUGUAAACUAGCCAUACAUUUCGUCGAACAUAUAAAUUUCGGACAUAUAAACAAAUAAACUGUAUGACUAUUUAUAUAGUGUUAUUUUCAAGCUUGUGUCUUCAGAUUUUCAUCUUUUAUUUCGGUAUUUACAGAAUAUUUAUAUUUGACAUAUUUCUAGCGCCGCCCAUGAAACGUACAUCAAAACAAUCCGCUGUGAAAAAAAAAACGGAAACCGAUUCUGUAGGUCAAAGUACUCCCAGUGGCAAGGUUUGCACGUGCAUCGGUCAGGCUAUAAAUAUGGCCAAGCAUCAACGUGGCGCUAGACUUGCCACAAGUUCGGCGCUCGCUGCUUGCGUUUCGUUGAAGGUCGAUGGGGUUAGCGUGGUUAAAUAAAGUUUUCUAUCUAUCUAUCUAGUCUAACGUGGCGCGUGCGUGCGCGAGUAAAACCCCGAUAUUUUGAAAAAUUAAAAUAAAUAUUUCUACUCUGUGCCGUAUUCAAACGCAACUUUGUACAUGAAUACAUGAAAGCGCUUGAACACAAGACGUAUUUUAUUCACAUUGACUCUGAACAAAUUCUGAAGAGCUUAGAAGAUAUUCAAGUUUUUUUCUCGAUAUGAAAUACUGAAUGUUUGGCCAAGCGGUGAGUAAAUAUAUGAUUGUUUUGGUUUGUGUAAUGUUUUGACGGCACUUGACCCCCCCCCCCCCGCAGGAUUACAAUGGUGCUUGUCGUUUUAAAGGGGGGUAAAUCAAUAAAUACUAAAGUAGAUAGACAGUAAAUACUAAAGUAGGGUGCAUUGGCAGCUAAUGGGCUAAUAAAAGACAUUUAUUGGCGUAUGUGUUUGUGAAACCAUUUACUGAUAGUACGCUACCACUGACAACUAUAAUCGUCAGGCGGUACACGGUGUACACUUGUCUGGCGUUAGUCAGAGUUAAUUAUUACUGAAAGUAGUGUGCAUUGCCAGCUAGUAGGUUAGUAGACUAAUAUCCACUUUUGACCCAAUGUCCUCAUUUUCAUGUUGGUUAUUUACUCUAUUCCGUGCACAUAACUUAAGAAUAAGUUUGCGAUUGGGCUUAAAUGAUGAACGAGAAACAAAUUUGUGCAGGAAAUAUACGGGAUAUAACCUUCAUGGGCAGGCCUGCCAUGCUACCAAUGAUGAAACGUGAAAAUUAAGCCAUUGGGUCAAAAGUAAACUUCCUUUUAGAGAAUUGUUUAGAAAUACAAAUUAACUUUUGCAUUCAGUUGAUGUGGCAAAACGGCAGCACUUUCCUUGCGAUAGUAACUCCUAGUUGUAGAUUUGCACCAUAGGUCUCCCAAAAAGGUCUUUUAGUUUUUCCAUACAAUUUGCUUGCGGUUUACGACUUGUAUUCUUGUCUAUUGCACCAUAGCACGUAUGUCGUCAUUUUCAGGUCAGUGUGAACGCCUGAGCAGGCGUCUCGUUGAAGAUGAAAAUGGCAUGCUUAGGUGCGUAGGAAGACUUGAAAAUUAAGAUUUAAGUGAUUUUGCUCGUAGACCUUUAAUUUUGCCUAGAGAACACAGGUUUACUAAUUUAGUUAUUGAAGAUUGUCAUACUAGAGUUCACCACAAUGGACUUAGAGGGUCGUUAGCCGAAUUGCGUUCAAGGUACUGGGUACCAAGAGCGAGGCAGAUUGUUAAGAAAAUAAUUCAUAAGUGUGUCAUAUGUAAGAAGGUUGCAGGAAAGUCUUAUACGGCCCCACCUAUGGCGGCCUUACCGGUUUCGAGUAGGUGAAAGUCUCCCGUUUUCCUGAAAAAGUUGGAGUUGAUUUUGCCGGACCAUUAUUUGUUAAGAGUAACAUAGAAGAAUCGAAAAAGGCUUACAUUGCCCUUUUCUCUUGUUGCGUGCAUGACACGUGCGGUACAUCUGGAAUUAGUUGAAGAUUUGACAUCACAAACAUUUAGACGAGCACUUAGGCGUUUUUCGAGUAGAUGCGGAACUCCGGCCCUGAUAGUUUCAGACAAUGCUAAGACACUUUCGUGCAACACAGAAGGCUCUAAAACAGUUGUUUAACCAUCCUGAAGUUAGGAGCGAACUCGAACGUACGAAAACAGAAUGGCGUUUCAACCUGGAACGCGCUCCCUGGUGGGGAGGAUUUUUCGAACGCCAUGUGGGAUGCGUGAAGGCAUGUUUAAAAAAGGUACUAGGCAAUGCAAAACCGACCUAUAACGAAUUACUGACUGCUGUGAUAGAGGUUGAAGGCACUCCAAAUUCCAGACCAUUGACGAUUUGACGUACGUAUACGUACGAGGAACUAUACGAGGACGUUUUAACUCCAUCACAUUUAAUUCAUAGCAGGCGUUUAAAGUCCUUGCCAGAAUGGAACAUAGAGGAAGCAGCUGAGAAUGAGACUAAUUGUAGCAAAAGAUUUAGACAUUUGACGCUUAGGUUAGUGCACUUUUGGAAUAGAUGGAGAAAGGAAUACUUAACAGAUCUUAGAGAGUUUCACAAAGCCAAGAGUAGCGUUUUUUAAGAGAAUAUGAAAGGAGCACAGUGGAAAACAGCGGUUGUCGAACGAUUAAAGGUAAAGAUGAGAUAAUUAGAGGUGCAGAAGUUAGGGUAAUUACGAAAGGUAAACGUUUACGCAUUUCAAGACCAAUUCAAAAACUAAACCCUCUAGAAAUAAGAGCCACCCUCGAGAAAAAUGAAGAGGUUAAGAAAACGCUCGUAAGUAAGAGCGACAUUCCCACACGAUAAUCCUAAGCGAGCGGUGGCACUGGACUGUAAAUGGAAAAUGCGUAGGAUUGAUUCGUAGCGAAUCAAAGGGGGGAGAGUGUUGUAAAAGUUGUGUUAAUUGUAUGUAGGAAAUAUAAUCAUAGGUAGCCCAGACACACUGUGCGAUUUAAAUUUAAAUGCUUGGCAUACUUAAUUACCCCCUGCGGUAUCGAUUUCAAAAUAAUAAUGUUAACGAUCAAAAAUAUUCCGAAUUUUUACACCAAAAUGUAUCACUAAUCAAUGCUUAUCGUUGAAGGAAAUAUACUUAGGUACAUAGCAUGCGCAUGCAUCAACAUAAAUAGUUUAUACCUUUAGUAGAAGCACUUGAAAUCCAGCUUUAAAAUCAUGACAUUCACGGCGACGCGGCGGAGGAGGGGAAAGGAGACAAGGUUGGCAACAUCCAUUGGCCAAGCUGCACGUAUCACCAUAAACAAACCCGUCUAACUCAACAAUACGGAAAGCUCAGCCGAAAAUUCUACAACAGCUGAUAAAACAACUAUCUUGCUUUCCAACAAUGUACUCCUUUCAAAAUUUGAAAUUUACCGUCCGUGAACCUUGUUUACCUUGCGCCCAGUCACAUCGUAAAUUUUGUAUGGAGGCUGUGGUUUGAAGUGAAAUUUCUGCAAAGGGAAACUUUCAAAUUUUGAAAGGAGUACAUUGUUGGAAAGCAAGAUAGUUGUUUUAUCAGCUGUUCUAGAAUUUUCGGCUGAGCUUUCCGUAUUGUUGAGUUAGACGGGUUUGUUUAUGGUGAUACGUGCAGCUUGGCCAAUGGAUGUUGCCAACCUUGUCUCCUUUCCCCUCCUCCGCCGCGUCGCCGUGAAUGUCAUGAUUUUAAAGCUGGAUUUCAAGUGUGUCUACUAAAGGUAUAAACUAUUUAUGUUGAUGCAUACGCAUGCUAUGUACCUAAGUAUAUUUCCUUCAACGAUAAGCUUGAUUAGUGAUAUAUUUUAGUGUAAAAAUUCGGAAUAUUUUUGAGCUGAUCGUUAACAUUAUUAUUUUGAAAUCGAUACCGCAGGGGGUAAUUAAGUAUGCCAAGCAUUUAAAUUUAAAUCGCACAGUGUGUCUGGGCUACCUAUGAUAUAAUUUAGAUUGUAAAGUAUGACGAUGUUUGUGGGCAAAAUAUAUAGUUGUUUUUGCCAAAACUUAUAAUGAACGUAUGGAGAAAGAUUACGUUAUCGUAAGAAGCUAACGCAGCAAACCCCGCUUAUUGGCUGCCAAGCGCGGAAA